Tribolium madens (black flour beetle) is the source of this 861-nucleotide long non-coding RNA. RefSeq lists it as uncharacterized. Lineage: Eukaryota; Metazoa; Arthropoda; Insecta; Coleoptera; Tenebrionidae. The record is from RefSeq and is a predicted model, not a curated record. The transcript has 4 exons.
UUAAAGGUUAUGUACGAUGGUUUUGGGGUUUAACAAAAUUUUAAGGCACAAUCGCGUGCUUUAUUCAGAACAUUCAAGUAAUAAAAUACAUUUUAAGCCGAAGCUUGUUUUUGGGUGAAACAACAGUGAAUAACUCCGAUUACCUCUGAUAAAAAAGUGUCUAUCAAGUUAAAAGUUGGGAAUACCAAACCCAAGUCCAAGAAUUUUGUUCAAAACGUUGAUCAAACCUCUGAUAUGAAAGAUUUGUAAGAAGAAAAGCAUAUUAUUAGAAUCUGUUAAUCAUGUUCAUGGUGUUUGUGGCAGUUAUCAAUAUACAAAUAAAACUUUUGAAUGUUGCACAAAAGCCACACCCAUAGUUUUAAUUAACAAAAUUGUUAUGAAACAAUUGCACCCUUGUACAAGGGUAAUGUGCCUCACAACUUAUUGUUUCCAACUGAAACGCAGUUGCCUCAAGGAAACCCUUAGUGGUGCAGUGGUUUAGUUGAUUGACUAAAAAUCGGAAAACCCUCCAAUAUAUUCCGUAGAUAUUUAACUUAUACUGGAUAACAAGAUUGUUUUAUUACCUUUUGGUAAAUUUCAAAGUGAUAGGAGUUUGUGAUACAACGUGUUUUGGUGUUGUUCAUAAAAUCAUUUAAAAGAAAAUUUUGCUCCUAUGAAUAAGGUCACAAGCCGGCCUAUUUAGGGGGAAGCAAACCCAAGUUGAUCCUUUCUUUGGUUUUGAGCAAGAACGAAUAUUGUUGGAUAAAAUUUCCGGAUUCUACUGACGUUGCCUGCAGAUGCUUUUAUUUGAGUUGAUCAUAUCUGAUAGAUUUGCAAUUACCUUUUAUGAGUAAAUUCUUCAAAAUAAAAGUAUUUUUCUUA